UGUUAAGAAUUUCAUCAAUUUCUACGGUUAAAAACCGGCAUGGCUGACGGAAUAAUCAAACAAUUACACCUAGCAUGCCAUGUAUAACUCAUGUUGAUAUAGAAGGACCAGCUUUUAACAGUAGAAAUGGAUGAAAUUUUUAACA
This is a non-coding RNA of Gossypium raimondii (Peruvian cotton), 145 nucleotides long. The record is from Rfam. NCBI's taxonomy places the organism in Eukaryota, Viridiplantae, Streptophyta, Magnoliopsida, Malvales, Malvaceae.